GGAACCUGAGGGCCCCCGGCGCCACCAGAGCUUCGUGGCUUAAUGGGGGAGGCGAGGAGCCACUGCGGACCUGCUCGGGACAGUGAAGGGCGCCAGUCUCAGCCCUCAUCUGAAACCUGCUCCGUGACCCUGGACUAGUUCCUGCUCCUCUCUGGACCAAAUCCUGGCCCUGCUCCUUUCUGGCUGAGUAACUUUGGGAGGCAGGGGCAGUAUUAUCAUCUCCAUUUUACGAGGAGGAAAAGCAAGCAAUGUACCCAAGUUCCCACAGCU
RNAcentral lists this long non-coding RNA (270 nucleotides) under Homo sapiens (human). RNAcentral describes it as "HSALNT0398179". Lineage: Eukaryota; Metazoa; Chordata; Mammalia; Primates; Hominidae. The record is from RNAcentral.